This 119-nucleotide ribosomal RNA is filed under the name Triticum aestivum (bread wheat). Lineage: Eukaryota; Viridiplantae; Streptophyta; Magnoliopsida; Poales; Poaceae. The record is from RNAcentral.
GGAUGCUAUCAUACCAGCACUAAAGCACCAGAUCCUAUCAGAACUCCGAAGUUAAGCGUGCUUGGGCGAGAGUAGUACUAGGAUGGGUGACCUCCUGGGAAGUCCUCGUGUUGCAUUCC